Molecule: ribosomal RNA, 437 nt
Filed under: uncultured bacterium
Lineage: Bacteria
Description: partial 16S ribosomal RNA
Rfam family: Bacterial small subunit ribosomal RNA
Source: RNAcentral
AGCGAACGCUGGCGGCAGGCUUAACACAUGCAAGUCGAGCGGGCAUCCUUGUGGUGUCAGCGGCAGACGGGUGAGUAACGCGUGGGAACGUGCCCUUCGGUUCGGAAUAACUCAGGGAAACUUGAGCUAAUACCGGAUACGUGCGAGAGCAGAAAGGCUUAUCUGCCGAAGGAUCGGCCCGCGUCUGAUUAGCUAGUUGGUGAGGUUAUGGCUCACCAAGGCGACGAUCAGUAGCUGGUCUGAGAGGAUGAUCAGCCACACUGGGACUGAGACACGGCCCAGACUCCUACGGGAGGCAGCAGUGGGGAAUAUUGGACAAUGGGGGCAACCCUGAUCCAGCCAUGCCGCGUGAGUGAUGACGGCCUUAGGGUUGUAAAACUCUUUUCUCCGGGACGAUAAUGACGGUACCGGAGGAAUAAGCCCCGGCUAACUUCGUG